CAUAUCUUUUUAUGAUGGACAGCAUCUCUAAGCCUGAGCGAGAUCUUAGAAUCGUCCACCAGCAACAAGGACACGGAAGGAAAGGAGAGUGAAGAGGAGAAGGAGGUGCUAAGGGUGGUCAAGUAACCAUGGUGUCCUACCUCGUCAACAACCCCAACAACAUGUUGGUCCCCGCACCAGACCUAGAGUAUCUCGGCUCACACACCCACUCCCUUGACAUCUCUCAGGCUCCAAGAGUUCCAUUCCAAGCCCUGGCUAUGGUGGAGCCAGACAGAGUACCCUCCAACAUCACAAAAAGCUGUCUCCGGAAUCUCCAAGCAGAGGCUGAGCCCCCUACAGCGUAAACGCUUCACUGCAGACGGUCUAGACAGACCUGCUGCCCCCCCCCCCCCCCCUUCCACCUGUACCAGCUCCUGGAGUGCAUUAUGGAAGAGGCGGAGGUUAAGCUGAACGAGCUGGGCCAGGCUGAACUGGAAGAGGUGGCUGCAGCUACAGUAUGGUCCAUUUUGUGUCUACCACAGUUUCCAACACUGUCAGGAAAAGACAAGCACUGCUGUGAAGGAUCCUGCCCGACCCAAAUACUUCAAAUGGCACAAUUACAUAAGCGGCUAUCUGUUUGACAGGUGUUUAUCGAAAGGAAACAACAAGAACACUAUCCCUCACAAAAACAGUGAGUAAAGUGAUUGUUUGAUUGAAACGGUUUUAUCAUAAACUAAUAAUUAAUUACAUGUUGACUACAUACAGCACAGUAUUUCCUGAUAUGCUUUA
Long non-coding RNA from Oncorhynchus kisutch (coho salmon), 768 nucleotides. RefSeq lists it as uncharacterized. The record is from RefSeq and is a predicted model, not a curated record. The transcript has 3 exons. Lineage: Eukaryota; Metazoa; Chordata; Actinopteri; Salmoniformes; Salmonidae.